GGUCAAUGACUUUUAGGUUCAUGUGCUGGAGUUGGAGGUGGUGCAAAAGUUGAAAGUAAGAGGUAUGGAUUCUUUCAGCACAAUUAUCAAAUGUUAAUUUUACAUAUCGUGAUCCCAUCAAGAAUUUCGAUGAAUCAAAAGUGGAUGGUGUGGUUGCAAGACUACUCAAAGUGAAGGAUAGCUCAACAAUGCUGUAUAGUAUUACAAUGGCUGCAACUGUCGGAAAGUUGUAUAAUCUUGUCGUUGAUACGGAAAAUACUUGAGAACAACGCUACAAAAUGGAAACCUACAAAGAAGAGAGUAAGUUUCAUGCCUUUAAAUAAAAUCCAUUCCAAUGUGGUGUCGCCUAGAGUUCAGCAUGCUGCUGCCAGAGAGGCAGGAAAGGAGAAUACAGAACUGGCACUUAUUUAUUUUUAGUUGAUUAUGACGAGGAAGUGAAGGUUCUAAUGUACAACUACUUUUUGUUACAAUGCGUAAAAUAUGGAGCGUUAUUCUUUUUUGAAAAGUCCCGCCACAUGCUAGAUAGCAAUUGUGUAAAUAUCAAUUGUGUGAUGCGGGAGAUCAUCUGUUUGAGGCAAUGGUGGAGGCCGAGUCAAAAGACUAUUUGCGAUCGAAGCCGGUAGACCUUGAACACCGCUUUUGCA
Syzygium oleosum is the source of this 644-nucleotide long non-coding RNA. RefSeq lists it as uncharacterized. The record is from RefSeq and is a predicted model, not a curated record. The transcript is spliced from 3 exons. NCBI's taxonomy places the organism in Eukaryota, Viridiplantae, Streptophyta, Magnoliopsida, Myrtales, Myrtaceae.